GUGUGGAGCAGCGGGGAGCUGCGCUGCUCCUGGAGAGAUGCGGAGCCGGAGGCGGCGCGGGGCGGGUUCACGCCAGUGCUGCUGCUUCAGGCUGGGCAGGGCGGGAGGCAGGGGCUUGAGAGCACGGUAAAAGUGGAGAGCAGGGAAAGAGAGAGAGGCUUUUAACCCUUUCCAGCAGCGGCAGGGGGAGGCUUCUCGCUGUGCACCCCGAGGACGUGGGGCUCUGCUAGGACAGAGAUGCCUUUCAGCUUCCAGAAGUUUCCUCGGACGGGCGAACUGGCCCACCUGCCACGGCGAGAGCACGGGGAAGGAGCCCGAGAGGACGGCGUUGGCCCCGCAGCUCGCCGUGGUUCCUGCACGGGGCAGAGGGGCUGCCCUGUGCUGGGAGCUGCUCUCCGUGCCCUCCGAGCUGCCCUGCACCACCUCCAGCUCCCCGCGAUGCCGAGGAGGAGCACACAGCGCAGCGUGCCAGCCCCUGCUCAGGCAGCGCUCACACCAGGAGCCUCUCCCGUCCCGCGCUGUGGAGGAGUUCCUCUGCCUGACGGGGAGGGAGUGCCAACGAGCAAUUCCCCCGGCUGGCUGCUCUGGUGACUCCUUGGUCACAUUCACCCCGCCAUAACCUGUGUAACCACGAGCACCACGAGCUACGAUGCUGCCGCAGCUGAGAGACCUGAACUUCAGCACACGCCACCGCUAGCAAAGCGACACUCAGCCCUCUCCGAACCCGGCCGCGGCAGCUCCAGCCCAGCUUGUGCCAUUUGUGAGCCACACCGAGGGUCCAAAGGCUCCUCCCUGCCCUGGCCCUGCUGGGCGAGGGGAGCAGGAGGGGGCUCCAGGUGACGGUAGGACUGGCUGAAAACAGCAAACCUGCGUGGCUCGAAAACGGCCUUAAACCUAGCUGGGAAAAGGCAUUUUUUUUUCUGCUGCCUGCCCUGCAUCUCACCACGGUUUUGCCUCGGGCUGGGCUUUUCUAUGCUCAUCCCCCCCAGCCGGAUGAGUGCCUUCACUGGGAAGCGUUAGCCCUUGCUGGUGCAGGUGGGCCCCGAGCUCAGCUCCUGCUGGAGUAAAAGCUGCCAGUCCCUGCUGGAAAUCUGGGAACGGGGAGGUGAGGGAUGCCGGGCAAGGGGAGGGGGGGGAGAGAGGCGCAGCAAAACCCGGUAACAAAAACUUUCUGAAAUAAAAACCCUUUGAAAACACUCUCUGCCUCCA
This 1209-nucleotide long non-coding RNA is filed under the name Anas platyrhynchos platyrhynchos (common mallard). RNAcentral's name for it is "lncRNA (ENSAPLG00000019387.1)". The record is from RNAcentral. Lineage: Eukaryota; Metazoa; Chordata; Aves; Anseriformes; Anatidae.